This 69-nucleotide transfer RNA is filed under the name Minervarya manoharani. RNAcentral's name for it is "tRNA-Glu". The record is from RNAcentral. Lineage: Eukaryota; Metazoa; Chordata; Amphibia; Anura; Dicroglossidae.
GUUUCUAUAGUAAAAUUACUACAGCAAUUUUUCGAGUUGCAAAUUCGAGUUAGAGUCUCGAUAGAAAUA